UGGGCUAUCGCCAAGUGGUAAGGCACAGCACUUUGACUGCUGUAUUCGCGGGUUCGAAUUCCGCUAGCCCAG
This 72-nucleotide transfer RNA is filed under the name Caudoviricetes sp. RNAcentral describes it as "tRNA-Gln". It matches the Rfam family "tRNA". From Rfam's summary of the family: Transfer RNA (tRNA) molecules are approximately 80 nucleotides in length. Their secondary structure includes four short double-helical elements and three loops (D, anti-codon, and T loops). Further hydrogen bonds mediate the characteristic L-shaped molecular structure. tRNAs have two regions of fundamental functional importance: the anti-codon, which is responsible for specific mRNA codon recognition, and the 3' end, to which the tRNAs corresponding amino acid is attached (by aminoacyl-tRNA synthetases). tRNAs cope with the degeneracy of the genetic code in two manners: having more than one tRNA (with a specific anti-codon) for a particular amino acid; and 'wobble' base-pairing, i.e. permitting non-standard base-pairing at the 3rd anti-codon position. The record is from RNAcentral. Lineage: Duplodnaviria; Heunggongvirae; Uroviricota; Caudoviricetes.